CCAUCCGAGGAGCGUUGCAGCGUUCCCCAGCCAGCCAUGAGCUGGCCUGCGCGGGGCGUGAGGCUCGGAUUUCAUCCCGCAACGACGCUCGCCCACG
This 97-nucleotide non-coding RNA is filed under the name Comamonas testosteroni. Its description in RNAcentral is "SAH sequence". It matches the Rfam family "SAH (S-adenosyl-L-homocysteine) riboswitch aptamer". The record is from RNAcentral. RNAcentral also lists the same sequence under 1 other name. Lineage: Bacteria; Pseudomonadati; Pseudomonadota; Betaproteobacteria; Burkholderiales; Comamonadaceae.